This 898-nucleotide ribosomal RNA is filed under the name Steinernema affine. Its description in RNAcentral is "partial large subunit ribosomal RNA". It matches the Rfam family "Eukaryotic large subunit ribosomal RNA", at positions 63 to 953 of the family's 3401-position model. Lineage: Eukaryota; Metazoa; Nematoda; Chromadorea; Rhabditida; Steinernematidae. The record is from RNAcentral.
AACUAACUAGGAUUUCUCUAGUAACUGCGAGUGAAACGGAAAGAGCUCAGCGUCGAAACCGUAUUUAACUUGUUUAGUGCGGUGUUGUGACGUACAGAUUCAAUCAUGCGCGUUUUGUUGACAAUACGAAUUUCCUUUGACUAGGGAUCCAAAGCGGGUGCUAGACCUGUACGUAUUGCUAAUUUAGCGUGCGCGUUUGUUUCUUUGAGUAGGGUUGUUUGAGAUCGCAGCCCAAAGUAGGUGGUAUACUUCAUCUAAAGCUAAAUACGACUACGAAUCCGAUAGUAAACAAGUACCGUGAGGGAAAGUUGCAAAGUACUUUGAAGAGAGAGUUCAAGAGGACGUGAAACCGAUAGGAUGGAAGCAGAUGAAGUUGACGAACGUGUGUUGUAUUCAGAGUUACAUUUAUGUGUAAUUUGUUUUUGCGACCAAUGUGGGCUGACGUAUUCGGUUAAUGCGAUGUGCUUAGCAAUGAUGGCGGCCCUGCGGAGGGAUUACCAAUCAGUGUACGGUGCUCGGUAUAGCUGGAUUUUUCGUCGGUCUCAAAGUCAAUGCCUCAUCUGACCCGUCUUGAAACACGGACCAAGGAGUGUAGCGUUUACGCAAGUCUUAGAGUGUGUCAAAACUUUGAGGCGUAACGAAAGUAAAGAUAGCUUCGGGUUAUUAACAUGGGAUGCGUUGUUUCGUGUAAACGGCGUCGGACUAUGGUUCUGUCGUGAUUGCUUGCAAUGCGGCGGAAAAAGAGCGUAAACGGUGCGACCCGAAAGAUGGUGAACUAUGCUUGAGCAGGAUGAAGCCGGAGGAAACUCUGGUGGAAGUCCGAAACGGUUCUGACGUGCAAAUCGAUCGUCUGACUUGGGUAUAGGGGCGAAAGACUAAUCGAACCAUCUAGUAGCUG